UGCUUUAUCCAUUUGAAGUAACUCUACCUACAGGUGCGCCAUUAGUAAUGAUGGGGUUCUAAGCUGUAGGAACAAUGUGAAUAAUCGACUAGCCUAAAGUGGAGGUUUUG
RNAcentral lists this non-coding RNA (110 nucleotides) under Natranaerovirga hydrolytica. Lineage: Bacteria; Bacillati; Bacillota; Clostridia; Lachnospirales; Natranaerovirgaceae. The record is from RNAcentral.